This 1302-nucleotide ribosomal RNA is filed under the name human gut metagenome. RNAcentral describes it as "bacterial LSU rRNA". It matches the Rfam family "Bacterial large subunit ribosomal RNA", at positions 1290 to 2615 of the family's 2925-position model. The record is from RNAcentral.
GAGAAUGCCGGAAUGAGUAGCGAGAGGAAGGUGAGAAUCCUUCCGGCCGAAUAUCUAAGGUUUCCAGAGUAAAGCUGAUCUGCUCUGGGUAAGUCGGGGCCUAAGGCGAGGUCGAAAGACGUAGUCGAUGGAUAACAGGUUGAAAUUCCUGUACUAUCCUGUAACAGAACUGUGGGGACACAGGCAGAGAGCGUGAGCCGGGAAUGGAAAGACCGGUACAAGCGAGGUAGGAGAAGAGUUGGCAAAUCCGCUCUUUAAUCUGAAGACGUGAUGUGGACUGAAAAUAAGUAGGGAAGCACGUGAGCUGACUGUCAAGAAAAGCCGCUAUUGUUUGCAGGAUACCCGUACCGUAAACCGACACAGGUGGAUGAGGAGAGAAUCCUAAGGCCGACGGGAGAAGCAUUGUUAAGGAACUCGGCAAAAUGACUCCGUAACUUCGGGAGAAGGAGUGCCAGUAAGAUGGCCGCAGAGAAUUGGCCCAAGCAACUGUUUAGCAAAAACACAGGUCUAUGCAAAACCGAAAGGUGAGGUAUAUGGGCUGACGCCUGCCCGGUGCUGGAAGGUUAAGGGGAGAGGUUAGCGCAAGCGAAGCUUUGAACUUAAGCCCCAGUAAACGGCGGCCGUAACUAUAACGGUCCUAAGGUAGCGAAAUUCCUUGUCGGGUAAGUUCCGACCCGCACGAAAGGCGUAAUGAUUUGGGCACUGUCUCAACAAUGCACCCGGUGAAAUUGAAAUACCAGUGAAGAUGCUGGUUACCUGCGCCAGGACGGAAAGACCCCAUGGAGCUUUACUCCAGUCUGGUACUGGGACUCGGUAUUGCAUGUACAGGAUAGGUGGGAGGCUGAGAAAUGGUAACGCCAGUUGCCAUGGAGCCGCUGUUGGGAUACCACCCUUGCAGUACUGGGUUUCUAACCAGCAGCCGUGAUCCGGCUGGGGGACAAUGUCAGGUGGGGAGUUUGACUGGGGCGGUCGCCUCCGAAAGGGUAUCGGAGGCGCUCAAAGGUUCCCUCAGAAUGGUUGGAAACCAUUCGAAGAGUGCAAAGGCAGAAGGGAGCUUGACUGCGACACCGACGGGUGGAGCAGGUACGAAAGUAGGACUUAGUGAUCCGGUGGUAUAAAGUGGGAUUGCCAUCGCUCAACGGAUAAAAGCUACCCUGGGGAUAACAGGCUUAUCACUCCCAAGAGUUCACAUCGACGGAGUGGUUUGGCACCUCGAUGUCGGCUCAUCGCAUCCUGGGGCUGUAGUAGGUCCCAAGGGUUGGGCUGUUCGCCCAUUAAAGCGGUACGCGAGCUGGGUUCAGA